This 816-nucleotide ribosomal RNA is filed under the name Limosilactobacillus reuteri. RNAcentral's name for it is "bacterial SSU rRNA". It matches the Rfam family "Bacterial small subunit ribosomal RNA", at positions 456 to 1271 of the family's 1533-position model. Lineage: Bacteria; Bacillati; Bacillota; Bacilli; Lactobacillales; Lactobacillaceae. The record is from RNAcentral.
UAACUGUUCACCCAGUGACGGUAUUUAACCAGAAAGCCACGGCUAACUACGUGCCAGCAGCCGCGGUAAUACGUAGGUGGCAAGCGUUAUCCGGAUUUAUUGGGCGUAAAGCGAGCGCAGGCGGUCUUUUAAGUCUAAUGUGAAAGCCUUCGGCUCAACCGAAGAAGUGCAUUGGAAACUGGGAGACUUGAGUGCAGAAGAGGACAGUGGAACUCCAUGUGUAGCGGUGAAAUGCGUAGAUAUAUGGAAGAACACCAGUGGCGAAGGCGGCUGUCUGGUCUGUAACUGACGCUGAGGCUCGAAAGCAUGGGUAGCGAACAGGAUUAGAUACCCUGGUAGUCCAUGCCGUAAACGAUGAUUACUAAGUGUUGGAGGGUUUCCGCCCUUCAGUGCUGCAGCUAACGCAUUAAGUAAUCCGCCUGGGGAGUACGACCGCAAGGUUGAAACUCAAAAGAAUUGACGGGGGCCCGCACAAGCGGUGGAGCAUGUGGUUUAAUUCGAAGCUACGCGAAGAACCUUACCAGGUCUUGACAUCUUCUGCCAACCUAAGAGAUUAGGCGUUCCCUUCGGGGACAGAAUGACAGGUGGUGCAUGGUUGUCGUCAGCUCGUGUCGUGAGAUGUUGGGUUAAGUCCCGCAACGAGCGCAACCCUUAUUACUAGUUGCCAGCAUUCAGUUGGGCACUCUAGUGAGACUGCCGGUGACAAACCGGAGGAAGGUGGGGACGACGUCAAAUCAUCAUGCCCCUUAUGACCUGGGCUACACACGUGCUACAAUGGAUGGUACAACGAGUCGCGAAACCGCGAGGUUUAGCUAA